This is a non-coding RNA of Camellia sinensis, 357 nucleotides long. The record is from RefSeq and is a predicted model, not a curated record. Lineage: Eukaryota; Viridiplantae; Streptophyta; Magnoliopsida; Ericales; Theaceae.
CUUGGAGUCACUUUUGCAGAAGAGUUUUUGCAGACUUUACGAGUGCCUAAUCCGAAGAGUAAUGGAACGUCUUUUGGGACUUCUUCAAGUUCCAGGGGGGAUUAUGUGCAAGACCAAUAAAUUGAGCCAUUGUGAUGUGUAUUUGGAACAGAGGCCUGAAGGUUGUCCCGACUUCAACAAGGUUGAGUUCUAGUUUCUCUAUUGUGUUGGAUCCUCACAUAUGGUUGAACAUAUCAUGUUUGUUUUUUGGAAUUAGUUUUUUCCUAUAAAUAUAAAAGCCACACUUGGGGGAAAUAAAAUUUAUUAUUCAGGUUGAUUUUACAUUUUAUUAUUAUAUUUUUCAUUUGCAACAAAAAU